Pelobates cultripes (western spadefoot toad) is the source of this 328-nucleotide non-coding RNA. Lineage: Eukaryota; Metazoa; Chordata; Amphibia; Anura; Pelobatidae. The record is from the annotation of a GenBank genome assembly.
ACCCACCAAGAACUAUACACUUAUCAAUGUAACUAUUAAGCAAACCAUACAAUUAUCUACACUAUUAAUCAACUUAGACUAACUGAUCACAUAACAUUUUAGCAAUUUCGUCACUACAGUCAGUGGUUAUGGUAUGGUUAGUAACUAUUGUACAGUUAGACAAUUAUGGUUUUAGAGUUACAAUCUCAAUUAGUAAUAGUUAAUGUGUUACACAUACAAUGUUAAACAGUAAUUUUAGUAUUGUUCACGUAAUGUUAGUGGUUAUGGUACAAGUCAGUGGUUAUGGUACUGUGCGCUAUUUUAUACUAUACACACUUUUUUACAAGUC